RNAcentral lists this long non-coding RNA (23469 nucleotides) under Vitis vinifera (wine grape). RNAcentral's name for it is "long non-coding RNA (VVIN_LNC006449)". The record is from RNAcentral. Lineage: Eukaryota; Viridiplantae; Streptophyta; Magnoliopsida; Vitales; Vitaceae.
AAACUCUUGCCCAUUUUGAGUGAAGUCUCUGAUGUCAAUCAAGUCAUCAAACCAGAGCAAGCAUCCACUUCCUCCUCCUCUGAUAUCUGAAUUUGCAUAAGCAGUGCAAGAGCAGUUCCUCAAGCACAGGGAAGCACAUUCCUUAAGGUUCAUGCUUUCAUCAAACCAGGAGUUCCGCGUGUCUGGCAGUUUCACACCAGAGUACUUUACAAAUCCAUCACCCUUUUGACAAUCCAGUGGAGUACUUCGAACGCAUCCCUUUGACCAGUCUGCCAUGUCCCAAUUGCUUUGGAACUUUGGCCUAAAUCCCUUCAUACACUCACAUUUUGGAGAUUCAUCAAUCUUACAGAUUCCAUAUACUCCACAUAUUGCAUAAUUGUCACAGUCAUCCUUCUGUGUGGUUGAGUAAAGAGUCCAUUCAUUUUUUUGAUCAGUCCAUGUGAAUCUUCGUGAAUAACCAUCAGGAGUUAACACAAGCCUCAUAAUAACUGAGCUGUUAACAAGAGAAUAAAUAAAAUAUAUCUCCUUUUCAUUAGAAACAAAAUUAAAUGUAUAAACUGAGUUGUUUGUUAAUUGAGGUAUUCCACUAUAUCGAACACCAUUCCAUGGUCCAGCACGAAACUCUACAGCUAAACCAUUCCUCAAUAAUAGUUGUGGAAAUCCACUUAGAUCAAUCCCAUAAGUAAAAUUACCUUUAGAAGGGUCAUCAUCACUCUUCCACGAUGACAGGUAUCGAUCCAGGCCUGUUACUCUGUUCCUUCCAAACUUCAUGCCUGGUAGAAGCGUAUCGCAUGGAUAAUCAAAACUCUGCCAGAAGAAGUUUUCUGAGUCACUAUCAUUGCCACUUCUCAUAACAAGAUUUCCAGAUUCCAAAAGCUGAGCAUUUGGAUCCUCUGCAAAACGUGAUGAAUUAGAAUUCCAAAGAAUUCCAUUAGUACCGUUGACCAGAACAAGAAUUCCCUGCUCAGUGACCUUUAAAACUCCCGAUGAAUCAGUUAGUGGACUUUCUCUAUUGGCAACCCAUACCACUGUCCCAGUAGCCACUUUCUUGUACCAUAUCCCCAAGUAUCGAUUCUUGGAAUUUCCUGGACUGAAGAAACCCAGUUCAAAGCUCCCACCCGCUGAAGUGAUGGUCUCACCAUCUGUAAUGUUUUGAUUUACAAUUAUGGUGUCUACUGCCACGGAGAUUCUUAAGAGGGAUAAUACAUAGGAGAAGAUAACUGCAACUGUUGUAAGAGAAUCCAUAGUUGUUCCUAGAUAGAAAAUGCCUGAGAUUUUAGGUGCUUUCCAAGUCUCCUUAUAUUUUUCUUUCCCCAUGUUAGAUUUUGCAUAGGUUGCUUCAUAUAUCAAAGUCAAUGUAACUCUCCAUCGUUAGCCAUAACUCCGGAAAUCUAUUCAUGUCAUUGUUUUUAUUGGCAUUCAAUGGUGGGGUCCGUUGAGUUAAAUAUAUGAAUGAUUUGUAUGACUUAGAGAAGAACAUCUCACCCACAUCCCCAUCCACAUUUAAUUUUCCAUACCUCUUAAAGUGGACUAGGAAUUAGUUUAUACAACAAGUUGAAGUAAGGACCAAUAACAGAAUGACUGUUGUAGCAACCCUCUUUCCUAGUCAAAGUUUACAGGUCAUUUACAACUCACAUACAGAGAACAUUCAUGUGGUCCAGUUUCUAAUUAAACUUCAAAUACUGAGUAGCUUUCACGACUUGUUAAAUAUUUGGAUUCUCUAGUUUCCUUUUUUUUUUUUUCCCAACUUUGGAACGAUGCCCACGUGACUUGUUGCCAGCUCUUGACUCAAAUUUAUAUGGGUGUAUAGACUUGUUUACACCUUAGAUAUUGAAAUGAAGCUUUGAGCGAAGUCAUCACAGUUGGCUGGACCUGCAUGGAAGUUGGUUAUGCUCCUCCGGGUAUAAAAAUUUAGAAGAGGACUACUUUGUUCUCUCACAAGUCCCAAGGCUCCUUGAGCUUCAAUGACUUGUUGUAGUGAUUUGAUGAGAGCAUCUCUAUCUCUGGGAUGGCUGACACCGAUCCUCUCAAUCAACAAAUAGCUCAUACAUUGUGACGAGGAAAGAAUGAUCUCAAUCAAUUAACAACUUACACAUUGAUCAUAAUUAGAGAAUCAUAACUCCUUUUCGCUAAAGGACUUAGGAGCUUUGCAUUAUUUUCUUGGAAUUAAAGUGUUUUGGGAUUCCAUAGGACUUUAUCUAACUUGGUCCAAAUAUAUACUUGACUUGUUAAAAUGAACUAACAUAGAACCAGCCAAAAGUUGCCCUACACUAGCAAUUAUGGGCUUACAGCUAUCCAUUUCUAGUGCACCUAACUUGAACAAUGAGAAGUUGCAUCACAACACUGUAGGGGCAUUACAAUAUCUCAUGAUUACUUGACUAAAAUAUCAUACAUUAUAAACAAAUCAAGUCAGUUUUUACAUUUUCCAACUGAUAUGCGUCAGAAAGUUUGUAAAUGAGUCUUGAGAUACUUGCAUGGGAGUAUUGAUCAUGGCCUACACAUUCAAUCAGCUUCUGCAUUUAGUCUCACUAGCUUCUUAGAUGCUGAUUGGGUCAGAUGUGUUGACGAUCCAAGGUCUGUUAAUGGCUUCUAUGUUUUUCUUGGUCCUAACAUUGUCUCAUGGAGUUCACGUAAGCAAAAGUUAGUUGCAAGGUCCAACACUGAGUCUUGAUUCAAAGCAUUGGCUCACACAGCAGCAGAGGUGACCUGGUUGCAAGCCUUAAAAGAUCUACAAGUCCUUAAUUCUUCAUGUCCUGUAAUCUGGUGUGAAAACAUUAGGGUAGCUUGCAUUACUGCAAAACUGGUUACACAUGCUCGCACCAAACAAAUGGAAGUAGAUGUCCAUUUUGUACGUGACAAAGUGCCGCAGAAGGAGUUAGACAUUCGGUAUGUACCUACAAAAGAUCGGGUAGCUGAUAUACUAACAAAGCCCUUAUCUAUAUCCCAGUUCAACAUCCUUAAGGUCGAGCUCAAUGUGAAGGUGUCCCCAUUUCACUUGAGGUGGCAUGUUUGACAGAAUGUUGCAGUUACAAAAUUAGUUUCAGAGUUAAUUGAGUUUAGCUUUAACAGUUCCACAGUUGAGGUUAGAUUUAGAAUUAGAUAAAAGAAAGAAUCAGUUAGUCUCCAACCAACUUGUAAUCUUCUCUAUAGAAAGGAAAAGAGAGAAAGAAAAAAAAGAGGUCAGUUGUAUUUCUCGCAUGCCGUGAUUUUAUCUCCUAUGUUCUCCUCUGUUUUUCAGUCUCAACAUCUUAUCUCCUAUGCAAGGUCCAACACUCGGCCAAGAUUCAAGAGGCAUGUUCAUGCACACAUUAUGCCAUAUAUUAAACUGUAAUUGAAAGCUAAAACAACAAACAUGUUGAAAUUUUAUGUGGACCGGUGCUAAACUUCAGGUUAUUGGUGCUUUAUAUAAAAGAAACUGUUUUCCUCCUUGAAGUUUUGUGUCAAAUUUACUUUUCUUCUGUUAGGAACAGAUAAGUUCAUACCUAAUUCUGAUGCAGCCAUUCUUAAAUAAAGCACUUGUCCAUUUUCAGCUAUAUCUACCAAAUCGAAUCACUAAACCAGGCAAAGCAUCCACUUCCUCAUUUAUAUGUGAAUUAGCAACGCCCUUGAGGUUCAUACUUUGAUUAAACCAUGAGCUCUACCUGUCUGGGAGUUUCAUACCUGAUAACUUUACAACUUGUCACUCAUCUAAUGAAUUAGCCGAGUGGGAAUUACACCAGUCUCCAUAGACACUUUCCUGUAUCAUAUCCCUAAGCCUGAAUUUGUGGAGUUAUCUGGGCUGAAAAGCCCUAGUUCAAAGCCACAAACAACUCCAAUGAUUACCUCACAUCUACUGUUGACGUACAUAGGAUAAGAAAAUUGUGGUUGGUUGGCCAUGACCAAUCAAUCUUUUUCCGUGGAUAUAUAUUAUUCUAGCAUUAAGUGGCAUAUAUUCCCUUCAAAUAAAUAACAAAAUCAAUCCCAAUUUGCAGCUAGAAUCUACUUAAUUAACCUCUUGUUCUUGAUGCUAAAGUGUUAAAAGGUCAUAUUUUUCUUUUUAAUUUUUUUACUUGAUUCUGACAUGUUAAAAUAGUAAUCUUAUUAACUUAUUUAAGAGAGAAACCCCUUUUUUAGCAGAUAUCAAAUAUCAACAAAAGACCAAAAACAGAGUCAAGGUUUCUCUACAAGAUGCAAGUAAUUAGUAUUUUUUAUAAGAAUAGCUUUUUUUAUAUGGUCAACUUCUAUCAUUGAACUUACAUACCAUGAAUAACUAUCAUAAUCGAUACAAAAAGAUAGCAGCAAAGACUGAUCACCAGAUAACAUCUUAGAUGAGUCUUUUGUUAGAAGCUAAGCAGUAUGAUUGCGAAAAAGUUGCCAAAUGUAGUUGAAACUUAAGCUUAUAUUGUCAUAGGUCUAACGACAACAAAACAUCAACAUGAAGCAUCUUCUAUCGAGCUUCCAACAAUGUGAUGGUGGGUUGAAUACCAGAGAAAGAAUUUGCAUCCAUCAUAUUCCUAUCAGUGAAGAAACAAGGCUCUUUGGGCCGAGGUAGUGCCCCCUCACUACCCAACAUCAAAAUCACAGAGUGCAUGCUUGGUCGAUCAUCCGGGAAACGUUGUAUGCAUAAUAGGCCCACGUUGAUUGAACGUAGCACUUCAAAUAGAUUGCAGGUGUUCACUUUUGAUGUAUCAAUAAAUUCUAAAGACCCACCUUCUAUAUAGAGUGUCCAUGCCUAGAGAAUUGAAAAGAGGAUCAGCACUGCCUUUAUAUAGUGAAAUAAGGAAAUAAGAAAAUAUUACCCAAUACUUACAUGCCCAAGAAGAUUAAGGUCAUGGCCUGGGUGGCUAAAUCCUCUGUUUCUCUUCCCACUUACAAUCUUUAGCAACAAAACACCAAAGCUAAAAACAUCGGAUUUUGUGGAAUACAAUCCUUCACUUGCAUACUCUGGAGACAUAUAACCUCUGUAGGAAACCGUUGAAGAAAGGGUUAAAUUCACAAGCAAUGGAGAUAAAGACUUUAUACAUAUCACUAAAUAUACUUACAAUGUUCCAGCCACUCUUGUUGUGUUUGCUUCAAUUUCAUUUCCUCCAAAACUUCUUGCUAUUCCGAAGUCUGAAAUUUUGGGGCUCAUUUCAUUAUCUAGUAAAAUGUUUUCUGCUUUGAGAUCUCUAUGGAUUAUCCUGAGUCUAGAAUCUUGAUGAAGAUAAAGAAGGCCUCGAGCAAUCCCAUUGAUAAUGAGGAAGCGCUUAGGCCAAUCUAGUACCCUGCUUCGCAUGUGAUCUAUCCAUUUUUUUUAUCAUUCAAGUUAACCCAUUCUACUACUUGGAUUAUUGAAAAUAAAUGGAAAACAUUUCAAGAAACAAAUGAUUACAAAUUUCAAGAGAGUUGUUCAAAGCAAACAUUGUCAAAGAUUGAAAAACAUUGUCAAAGAGACACAAAUAGAUAAUGGAUCUUAAUGGUAGGGUUCCAAACCCCUAACAUUUUUAAAAAAUGUUAGAGAAAAUAGAAAUAUGAAAAAUUUUCUAAAUAAAUGCAUCUAUGCUUUAUCUUGUCCUUGAGGAUUUUUCUUUGAAAUUUGUCAAAUCCAUGGUAAAUAAAGAAUUUCCCUAGCAUGUAUAGGAGAAGAGAGAGAAAAGAGAAGCUACUCAAUUAGACAAAGAAACUAUAUAGUGGUUUUAGAGAGCCGAACCAAAAAUGUACAAGUCCAAGCUUUUGUUGGGCAUGUAUUCAUAAAUCAACAAUCUUUCUCUGCCAUGAAUGCAACAUCCAAGAAGCUUUACAAGAUUUCGGUGCUGAAGUUUUGUAAUGGAUUCAACUUCAUUUUUGAACUCUUUUAAUCCUUGUCUAGAAGUUUUUGACAUCAUCUUUACUGCUAUUUCUUGUCCUUCUUGCAAUAUUCCCUGAAAACAUCAUAUUCUUUUUAUUCUGAAAGCUUUUCAAAUUAAAAGAAACUUGUCCAUAUUCAAUAUGAAGAGUCCUAAAGAAACCAGAGACACAAAAAUGUUGGCACAUACACCGACUUCAAAACUUUAAGGAGUAUAGUGGCCUUGAUACAUGUUGUUUCAUUUAGAUACUAUGAAGAUUGGGGACAUCAACUACUUCUCAAGAUGCUUAGCUAUGUAUCUAUAAUGUUUUAUUAACUUGUAACUUGUCUUAUCCAAAAGGCAAAGUAUAACCCUACCUUAUAGACAGGUUCAAAACCACCCUCUCCAAGUUUAUUGUCUCUAGAAAAGUUAUUGGUGGCAUUCAAUAAUGUAUCCAAGUCAAAUAAUGGUAAAUCUAGAUGCUCUUGGCCUUUAUUGUUUUCACCUUCUUUUGAUUUAUGAUCCAUGUAUUCUGCAGAAUGGAGAAUAAAAUGAAGGAUUAAAGAAUUCAUCAACCUGGAAUUUAGCCCAUUUCCAAGCCUAGAUCAUUUCAUUGUUUCUAAAAUCAAGCCAGGUCAAUCUAUUGCUCCCCUUUUUUAUUUAUUAUUACAUAAUCAAACAACGUGUAGAAGUACUUUUGACUAAUACAUAUGGUGAUACAAGCACUAUGAUUUGUUACUUACCUUUUUUCUUUAGCUGCUUCUUCCUCUUCUUGAGCACAUACAAGAUCAGGACUGGACUUAAAAAAACUAUUCCUGUAAUUGAUAUAGAGAUGACAAUGACCUGCUUUUUCUUCUUCUUGGAGCUACUAUUUAUGCUUGAAGAAGCUUCUUGACACAAAAGGAAAGAAAUUAAGAAGGAGAGCUAAGAAAUAAAUUAGAAAAACUAUAAAUUCCUAUGAACAGUAACUGUUGAUCUAAAAUAUAUUUGUAGUUUACAGCCAUGAAGGUAGAAGUUCAAGGAACUGCAAUUGCCAUAGGAUUUGAUAGCACAAAUCAGUUGGUGUAUUGGUGUGUUAUAGCAUCUAUCUUAAUACAAUUGAAAUCUAAAAGAAAAAUAUUCCAACUUUUGAGUAGACCUCUACUUUGCACUCUAGUCUUUAGAAAAUACGUAUACUAUUCCAUGAAAUAAUGUGCUUGGCAUUUGGUAUCAGAUUUUUCACAUCAGCAAUAAUUGAGAUGGAGGUAAAUUAAGAUUUAAGUUGCAAAAUCAUGGGAUUGAACUAGAGGCACAUAUGCAAGGUGAACAACUGAUUCAAAACUUUUGAGUAAAUAUACCAUGAAAUUUGUAUGAGAUUUAAGUUUCCCAAGUAUGAAAAAGAAAUGUUUAUACCUGAUUCUGAUGCAGCCAUCCUUGCAUAAAACUCUUGCCCAUUUUGAGUGAAGUCUCUGAUGUCAAUCAAGUCAUCAAACCAGAGCAAGCAUCCACUUCCUCCUCCUCUGAUAUCUGAAUUUGCAUAAGCAGUGCAAGAGCAGUUCCUCAAGCACAAGGAAGCACAUUCCUUAAGGUUCAUGCUUUCAUCAAACCAGGAGUUCCGCGUGUCUGGCAGUUUCACACCAGAGUACUUUACAAAUCCAUCACCCUUUUGACAAUCCAGCGGAGUACUUCGAACGCAUCCCUUUGACCAGUCUGCCAUGUCCCAAUUGCUUUGGAACUUUGGCCUAAAUCCCUUCAUACACUCACAUUUUGGAGAUUCAUCAAUCUUACAGAUUCCAUAUACUCCACAUAUUGCAUAAUUGUCACAGUCAUCCUUCUGUGUGGUUGAGUAAAGAGUCCAUUCAUUUUUUUGAUCAGUCCAUGUGAAUCUUCGUGAAUAACCAUCAGGAGUUAACACAAGCCUCAAAAUAACAGAGCUGCUAACUAGAGAAUAAAUAAAAUAUAUCUCCUUUUCAUUAGAAACAAAAUUAAAUGUAUAAACUGAGUUGUUUGUUAAUUGAGGUAUUCCACUAUAUCGAACACCAUUCCAUGGUCCUGCACGAAACUCUACAGCUAAACCAUUCCUCAAUAAUUGUUGUGGAAAUCCACUUAGAUCAAUCCCAUAAGUAAAAUUACCUUUAGAAGGGUCAUCAGCACUCGUCCAUGAUGACAGGUACCGAUCCAUGCCCAUUACUCUGUUCCUUCCAAACUUCAUGCCUGGUAGAAGAGUAUCGCAUGGAUAAUCAAAACUCUGCCAUAGGAAGUUUUCUGGGUCACUAUCAUAGCCAUUUCUCAUAACAAGAUUUCCAGAUUCCAAAAGCUGAGCGUUUGGAUCCUGCGCAGAACGUGAUGAAUUAGAAUUCCAAAGAAUUCCAUUAGUACCGCUGACCACAACAAGAAUUCCCUGCUGAGUGACCUUUAAAACACCUGAUGAAUCAGUUAGUGGACUUUCUCUAUUGGCAACCCAUACCACCGUCUGAGGAGCCACUUUCUUGUACCAUAUCCCCAAGUAUCGAUUCUUGGAAUCACCUGGACUGAAGAAACCCAAUUGAAAGGUCCCACCCGCUGAAUUGAUGGUCUCGCCAUCUCUAAUGUGUUGAUUUACAUUUAUGGUGUCUACUGUAGUGGAGAUUCUUAAGAGGGAGAAUACAUAGUAUUAAAAUUGAUUAAUGUGAAAACUUGCCUUGUUGAACAAAGAAAUAUGCAGAGUUUGUUAGGUUGUUACAAGUUAGUGGAAUUUUUUUAUUUUGUUAUUUUUCAUUUUCUGGAUGAGCUGGAAUCUUCUCGAUUGUUCCAAGCCUUCCUAUAUAUGUUGCUACUGUACAAUCAGUGAAGAGGGGAAUCAAUGAAUUAGUUUUAUUUCUCUCUCAGGCCUUUGUUUGCCUUUCUUGCCAUUUACCUUUUGUUUUUCUAUUAUGGUAUCAGAGCGUAUUCCUUCCGUUUUUCCUUCCUUCUGAGCAUGGCUAAGGGCAAACCUCCUCAGCAUCCUUUUCAGUCUCCCAUGGAAGAUCAUAGUAGUCCCUAUUUUCUUCACAAUGGUGAUCAUCCAAGUCUCUCUCUGGUUUCUCUUUCACUUGCUGGAUUUGGUUCAAACUAUCAUUCUUGGCGCCGAUCAAUGGUUAUAGCUUUAAAUGCUAAGAACAAACUUGGGUUUAUCGAUGGAACCAUCUCACGUCCUGCUGCAACAGAUCUCCUUGCUGGUCCUUGGUCUCGCUGCAACAACAUGGUCAUAUCUUGGCUCUCUAACUCGGUUUGCAAAGAAAUUGCAGAGAGCAUCCUCUAUCAUGAAACAACCAUCGAAAUAUGGAAUGAUCUAUACGAACGAUUUCAUUAGGGCAGUGGUCCUCAAAUUUUUGAACUCAAGCAAAAAAUUAUUGCUCACACUCAGGGAUCGGCUGAUGUCAAUACCUACUAUACUCGACUGAAAUCCUUGUGGGAUGAGCUUCAAGAAUUCAAGGCGAUACUAGUUUGCAAUUGCGGUGGCAUGCGUGUUUAUAUGGAGGAUCAACAACGAGAAUCUGUGAUGCAAUUUCUGCUGGGUUUGAACGAAUCCUUCGCUCCGAUUUGAGCUCAAAUCCUGUUGAUGGAACCGACUCCUCCGCUGAACAAAGUUUUCUCCCUGGUUGUUCAAGAAGAACGACAACGAUCUCUUACCACCUCCAACUCUCCGGCAUUCACUGCUCCUGUUUCCUCCAGAUUUCAAGCGGCAUCUAGAGCUUUUUCUCCUACUAAUGCCUCUCGAUCAAGAAAGGAUCGCCCACUCUGUACCCAUUGCAACAUCUUGGGUCACACAGUUGAUCGGUGCUACAAAAUACAUGGGUAUCCACCUGGAUUCAGAAAUAGGCCCAACUUCAAGCCCAAUGGUUCUCGCCCAAAUCAAAUGCUACCCAAUAGUCUUCACACGAAUCAGUUGACUCUCACAGAUGGCUCCACCGCCUCUGCAUCUCCACCACCUCUCACUCAUGACCAACACAAUCAGUUAUUAGCUCUCUUAAGUUUGCACAGCUCGAGUGGCUCCUCUGCCUCAUUCGGUGACAGCAACCCUCUUCAGCAAUCCAUUUCCAACUUCACUGGUAUCCUUUCUCUUUCUCCUUCAUCAUCCACUCUCAACCCUAGCAUUUGGAUUUUAGAUUCAAGGGCAACCCACCAUGUUUGCACUAAUUCCUCCAUGUUUCACUCUAUUCAUUCAUUUUCUUCCAACACUGUCACUUUACCCACUGGUAUAAAAAUAUCAAUCACCGGAAUAGGCACCAUUCAUCUGUCACCUCAUCUCGUGCUUGAACAUGUUCUCUACAUUCCAACAUUAAAAUUUAAUCUUAUCUCCAUUAGUGCCUUAACUCAAACCAAUUGUUUUUCCUUUGAUUUUACUGCUCGUUUUUGCUUCAUUCAAGACCACUCACAGGGGAAGCUGAUUGGGAUGGGUAGACGUCAAGGCAACAUUUACCUCUUAGAUAGCUCAGUCUUUCGUUCUAUUUCCUCUGUAUUCGUUGUUGAUAACAACACUUCUGCUCAUGUAAACAAAUUGUGGCAUUUCAGAUUAGGCCACCCAUCCAAUGUCAAACUCAGUGUAUUGAAACCUCAUUUACAGUUGCAAAGUAAUGGCAAUACCAAUCUUUCUUGUUCAAUUUGCCCUCUGGCAAAACAAAAACGUUUGCCAUUUGAUUGUCAUAAUAAUUUAUCUCCUUCUCCAUUUGAUCUCAUACACUGUGAUAUUUGGGGUCCAUUUCAUAUUCCCACACAUGAUGAAUUUCGUUAUUUUUUGACAAUCGUUGAUGAUUGUACAAAGAAUACAUGGGUUCAUCUUCUACGUGCUAAAUCUGAUGUCAAGACCAUUUUUCCAUAAUUUUUCUCCAUGGUUAAAACCCAGUUUGGUCUCACCAUUAAAGCAGUUCGCAGUGACAAUGCCCCUGAAUUAAACCUCUCCAAUCUCUUUACCCAACUUGGUGUGCUCCAUUUUUUCUCUUGUGUUGAAACUCCUCAACAAAACUCGGUUGUUGAGCGUAAACACCAACACAUCCUAAACGUAGCUCGGGCCUUAUAUUUCCAAUCCAACAUACCUAUAGGAUAUUGGGGGGAUUGUGUGCUUACUUCGGUUUACCUUAUAAAUCGAAUUCCAUCACCAUUACUGAACAACAAAACUCCUUUUGAACUACAUCAUAAAUCACCAUCUUACUCCCAUCUCAAAUCUUUCAGAUGUCUUUGUUAUAGUUCAACUCUUCCUCGAGCCUUACCUUGUGUCUUUUUAGGAUAUCCUUUUGGUUACAAAGGUUACAAAAUUCUAGACUUAGAGACCAACCAAAUAUCUGUCUCCCGAAAUGUUAUCUUCCAAGAAUCUGUGUUUCCUUUCAAGUUAUCUCAGAAUAAUAACUCUGUUGCUUCAGAUUUCUUUUCUGAAAAGGUGCUGCCUAUUGUACCAGUUUCUACCCCUUCCCCUUCUUUUAAUAAUUCGACUUCACAUCCUAACAGCCCUGACUCUUCCUCCAAUGACACUUCACCUCAUACCACCUCCCACACAACCACCAGAUCUUCUAGAGUAUCCCAACCACCCAAAUAUCUCUCUGAUUAUCACUGUUAUUUAGCUUCUUCUACUCGUCAUUUCGAUAUAUCCAACUCCACUCCUUACCCCUUAUUCGAUGUCAUCUCCUACAAUAAACUUUCCCCUUCUUUUCGUGCAUUUUCUAUUUCCAUUUCCACCAUCAUAGAACCCAAAACAACAUAUGCUGAGGCAGUCGUUGUACCCGAGUGGCAGCAUGCUAUGUGAGCUGAACUGCAAGCUUUAGAGUCCAAUAAUACCUGGUCUUUGUGCACUCUACCCCCUGGAAAAACAACAGUUGGUUGCAAAUGGCUUUAUCGUGUUAAAUAUCAUGCUAAUGGUUUUAUUGAAAGGUACAAAGCACGACUUGUUGCCAAAGGGUUCACACAGCAAGAAGGUGUUGAUUUUUUUUAUACUUUUUCACCUAUUGCCAAGAUGGUUACUGUCAAGGUAUUACUCUCUCUUGCUUCUAUUUACAAUUGGCAUUUGACUCACCUUGAUGUCAAUAAUGCAUUUUUGCACGGUGAUCUAUCUGAAGAAGUUUUCAUGCAUCUUCCUCCUGGUUAUCACCGUGAGGGGGAGCCUUUAUUACCUUCCAACACAAUUUGUAAGUUACACAAAUCCAUCUAUGGCUUGAGACAAGCAUUUAGGCAGUGGUUUGAAAAAUUCUCUAGUGUUCUAAUCUCUAAAGGCUUUCAGCAAUCUCAUUCAGAUUAUUCUCUAUUUAUCAAGACAGCAGGAAAUGAUUUUAUUGCUUUGUUAGUGUAUGUUGAUGACAUAAUAGUUGCUAGUAACAACAAGAUUGCUGCUGAUAAUUUGAAGAAUUCUCUCAACAAAAGCUUUAAAUGAAAGGAUCUAGGAAAUCUCAAGUAUUUUCUUGGACUUGAAGUAGCUAAAUCAGCUAAAGGGAUCCUGGUAAACCAGAGAAAAUAUGCUCUGGAACUCCUAUCUGAAACAGGCUACUUAGGUUGCAAACGUGCCAAAACUCCAACGCAACCAAAUAUGCAACUUUCUCAAGAUGAUGGAGAGCUGCUAACAGAUCCCAGCAUGUAAAGAAGGCUCAUAGGGAAGCUUAUAUACCUUACUAUCACCAGGCCAGACCUAACUUACUCGGUGAACAAGUUGAGCCAAUUCCUAAGUCAACCGAGGAGACCACAUUUGCAAGUAGUCUACAGGAUUCUUCAAUAUAUCAAAGGAUCACCAGGCAAAGGUAUUUUCUUCUCAACUUCCUCAUCUCUUCAAUUAAAGGCCUUCUCAGAUUCUGAUUAGGUAGCAUGCCCAGAUUCUAGAAAAUCAAUCACUGGAUUUUGUAUAUUUCUUGGAGAUUCUUUGAUAUCAUGGAAAUCAAAAAAGCAAAGGACAGUUUCAAGAUCCUCAGCUGAAGCAGAGUAUCGAGCAAUGGCUCAUGUGACUUGUGAGCUAACAUGGUUGAUUGCCUUACUCAAGGACUUAGGAGUUUCACACACACAACCUGCUUUGUUGUACUGUGACAACCAAGCUGCUCUACACAUUGUUGCAAACCCGGUCUUCCAUGAGCGUACUAAACACAUAGAGAUAGAUUGUCAUAUUGUAAGAGAGAAGAUUCAAACAGGUAUGCUCAAAACUCUACAUGUUGCUUCACAACAUCAAUUGGCUGAUAUACUUACCAAUCCUCUCUUUCCUGAUCAAUUCAAUUCUCUCAUAGACAAGAUGGGAAUGUAUAACAUAUACAUUCCAUCUUGAGGGGGAGUAUUAAAAUUGAUUACUGUGAAAACUUGCCUUCCUUGUUGAACAAGAAAUAUGCAAAGUUUGUUAGGUUGUUACAAGUUAGUGGAAUUUUUUUAUUUUGUUAUUUUUCAUUUUCUGGAUGAGCUAGACUCUUCUCGAUUGUUCCAAGCCUUCCUAUAUAUGUUGCUACUGUACAAUCAGUGAAGAAGGGAAUCAAUGAAUUAGUUUUAUUUCUCUCUCAGGCCUUUGUUUGCCUUUCUUGCCAUUUACCUUUUGUUUUUCUAUUACAUAGGAGAAGAUGAACACAACUGUUGCAAGAGCAUCCAUAGUUGUUCCCAGAUAAAAAAAUGCCCAAGAUUUUAGGUGCUUUUCAAGUCCCCUUAUAUUUUCCCUCGCCCCCUAGGAUAUGGCAUUGUGUUUGACUUGUAUGACUUGGAGAAGAACAUCACCUCCAUUGUUCAUCAUUGGAGGUCCUUCAUCCAAAUUAGAUUUUUCUAUACCUCUUAAAAUUGAGUAGCUAUUAAUUUAUCCCUUACAAUAGUUUAUGAAUGAUCUCAUCUUUUCUUUAGAAGAAUUACAAGUUGAAGUAAAGAAGACCAAGAACAGAGUGUUGGAAUUUUGACAAGUAUACAAUAGUUUAAAAAAGAAUGAUUCAUAAACUAACAUAGUGGAAAAAAUAUUUUUAAAUCUACCGUUUUUGCUAAGUGGGAAAAAGAAAUUAAAUUUAAAGUAAAAAUAGUCUCUUAUGGGCAAAAAUGUCUUUUGAAGAGAUGAAUUUUAAAAAUUCUUUAAAAAACAAAAUUUAUAGGCUAAGAUCGUCUCUCGAAUAAAAGAUUUCUUUUUAUUAUUUUUUUAGAAAAGUUCUAGACAAAAAUCCUUUAUGCAAAAAAUGUGUUUUGAGGAGAUGAGUUUUAAAAAUUCUUUAAAAAACAAAAUUUGUAGGCUAAAUUGGUCUCUUGAAUAAAAGAUUUCUUUUUAUUAUUAUUUUUUUAAAAAGUCUAAAAUUGUCUAUUGAAGACACGAUUUCAUAAAUAAUAAAAAAAUAAUAAAAAAACAAAAGAAAAAGAAAGAAAUAAAAGGAGUUCUUAUUUUUAAUAAUAUUUUAAUUAAUAAUAUAUUUUAAUAAUAAAAUUAAUAUAAAUAUAUGCAUUGUAAUAUUAAUUAAUUUAAGUUUAUUAUAUUUGAUAUAUUAUUUAUAAUUAUAAUAUUUAUAAAAGUAUAAAUUAUAUUUAGCAUCUACUAUUAAAAAAAUACUAUUUUAUGUUGAGUUAAAUAUCGAUAACAAAAAUAUUUUGAUCUUUAUCACCAAUUUUAUUUCUAAAUUAAUUUAAUGAAUUGUAACUAUAAAUAGAAAUUAGUUUUAUUUUAUUUUAUUUUUUAUUUAUAAUAUAAAUAAUACAUAUUUUAAAUUUUGAAACUUUAUCUACUACUUUCUUGUUCCUUUUAAAUUUCAUAUUAAAACAAAUCUAUUAUCAAUUUUAUUUUAUUUGAGUUUAUAAAAAAUAAUUUUAUUACCUAUUUAUUUUUUUAGUUUAUUAAAUAUAUAUAUAUAUAUAUAUAUAUAUAUAUAUUUACAAAAUGAAUAAUUUUUUAUUUUUAAAUUAAUUUUAUUAGAUAAAAUUUAAAAAUAAAAAUAUUAUUCCUUAAUUUAAAAUUUAACGGUAAAAAAAUAGAGAAAAAUAAAUUAUUUUUAAAUUGAUUAAUACUCAAAAAAUUAUUUGUUUCAUUUUAAAUUGAUUAAUAUUCAAAAAAUUAUAUCUCUUAAAGUUGACAUUUUUAUUCAAAAUUAAUUUGUUGAAUAAUAAAUUGGUUUAUUUUUCUAUAUUUUAUUUCUUUUACUAUUAAAUUUUAAAUUUAAAAAAAAUUAUUUUAAAGCUUAUCUAAUAAAAUUAAUUUCAAAAUUAAAACGAAAAAAAAAAAUCAUUCAUUUUGUAAAAAAUAAAAAAUAAAAAUUACUAAACUAAAAAAGGAAAUUUAUAAUAAAUUUAUUAUUUUAUAAACUCAAUUUUCACCUCAAAUUAAUAAUAGUUUUUUUUUUCUUAAUUUGAAAGUGAAACAAACAAAAAGUAAUAGAUAAUAUCUAAAAAUUAAAAUAUUUAUUAUUUAUCUUAUAAAUAAAAAAUAAUAUAAAACUAAAUUAGUUUCUAGUUAGAGUUAUAAUUAAUAAAAUUAAUUUAAUGAUAAAAAUUGGAGAUAAAUAUAAAAAUAUUUUUUAAAUCAAUAUCUAAAUUAAUAUAAAAUAGCGUUUUUUAAACAUAAAAUGCUAAACAUAAUUUAUACUUAUAUAUAUAUAUAUAUAUUAGUAUUGAUAAAUAAUAUAUCCCAAUAAUUACAAUUAUUUUUAUAUAUUAAAUUUAAUAGAUAAAAUUAAUUAAUUCUAUAAUACAUAUAUUUAUAAUAAUUAUAUUAUUAUACAAAUGUUAUGUGUUUUAUUAUUUUUAAUGAUAUUUUUAAUUAAUAAUACAAUGCUACAUCAUUUAAAAAUAUGAGGUGAUGACCAAAAUAAUUUUUUAAUUAAUAUAAAAUUAUAAAUAUAACUUAUACUUUUAUAAAUAUUAUAAUUAUAAUAAUAUAUCAAUAAUAAUAAACAUAAAAUCAAUUAAUUUUAUAAUACAUAUAUUUAUAAUAAUUUUAUUAUUUAAAAAUAUUAUUAGUUAAAAUAUUAUUAAAAAUAAUAAAACAUGGAAAAAAAUUUAAUUUUUUGAAAUCAUUUGGAGAAGAUUUCUUCCCUUAAUUUUUUUUUUUUUUAAGAAAUCGUCUCCUGAUUUUCUAUUUUUUUAUUUCCUAUAUCCAAUAAUUUUUUUAAAAAAUAAAAAAUAAAUAAAAAUCAUCUUUUGAAGAGACUAUUUUAGUUUGAAUUUUUUGUAAAAUUUUUAAAAAAAUUUGAAAAUACUAUUUUUACUUAGAACUUAAAAAUAAUAAUAAUAAUAAGAAAUCGUGUCUAGAGACAAUUUUAGCUUAUAUAUAUUUUGAAAGAAUUUUUAGAAAUUAUCCCUUCAAGAAUUGAUUUUUGCAUAUUACAUAUAUAUAUAAAGAAAAUAAAUAUCUUUUGAAGAAAUGAUUUUUACUUCAAUUCCAAUCUCUCUUUCCUAAUUGAUAAAAACUACCAGUAUUUUUUUCAGAGUAGCUUUCAUGAGUUGUUAGGAUGUGCUAGGAAGACUUUUGAACUGACUAACUGGCCCAAAAGACACGCCUGCUGGCUAUUGUUAUUUGGAUUCUCUAAUUUUUUUUUUCCAACUUUGGAACUAUCCUCACGCGACUUGUUACCAGCUUUGGACACAAAGUCAUAUGGGCGUAUAGACUCGUGGCCACCUUAGAUAUUGAAAUCAAGCUUUGAGCAAAGUCAUCACAGUCGGUCAGAACUGCAAGGAAGUUGGUUAUGCUCCGGUAUAAAAUCAAAAAGUGGUAUAAAAAUCGAAAAGGCCAACAGAGGCCGUUUGAUUCACUCCAUCACCCUCCUCUUAGUUUGAGUGUCACGAUUCAAGUCCCCAUAAUUGGGAUCAUUUACCAUCCAAUCAAGUCAAGAGUGAAUUCACGGAGGACUACUUUGUUCUCACACGAGUACCAAGACUCCUAUAUAACCUUCAAUGACAUCUUAUAGUGAUUUGACAAGGGCAUCUCUAUCUCUGAGCGAAGUAGCUAACACCCAUCCUUAAAUCUCUUAAGAGGCAAUGGACUAUAAGGAAAGAAUUACCUUUUAUAAAAAUCCUCUCAAUCGUCCAAUAGCUCAUACAUUGAUAUAUAGAAACAGCCAUCUCAACCGAUCAACGGCUCACACACUGAUCAUAAUUAGAACAUCACAUAAUCACCUCCUUUGAUUACGACUAUAAAUUAUUCCACAAAUGUAGCAGAAGGGCUCUUGUAGCAACUCUCUUUCCUUGCCAAAGUUAAUAGGACAUGUCAUCAGUUACAACUUACAGCCACUGGUAGGAUUGAAAAUAAAAAUGCAUACAGCCGAUAUUCAGGUGGUCCAGUUUCUGAUUAGCACCAAAUACUGAGUAACUUUCACAACUUGUCAGGAUGUGCUAGGAAGACUUUUGGACUGACCAACCGGCCCAAAUGACACGCCUGCGGGCUACUGUGAUUUGGAUUCUCAUUACUUUUUCCUUUUUUUUUUCUUUCUUUUUUUUUUUUUUUUUCUUUUUUUCUCAAACUUCUGAAUUCUCUCCACGUGACUCAAAUUUAUAUGGGUGUAUAGACGUGUUUACACCUUAGAUAAUGAAAUCAAGCUUUGAGAAAAGUCACCAAAGUCAGCCGGACCUGCAUGGAAGUUGGUUAUGCUCUCCGGGUAUAAAAAUCAAAAAGGGGAUCUCCUUGAGCUUCAAUGACUUCUUGUAAUCCCUUACGGGCUAUGGAUAUAAGGAAAGAAUCAUGUCAUAAAGGGAAGAAUACUCUCAGUCAACAAAUAGCUCAUACAUUGCGAUGAGGGAAGAAUGAUCUCAAUCAAUUAACUACUCACACACUGAUCAUAAUUAGAGCAUUACAGAGCCUUUUCAGUAAACGACUUGGGAGCUUUGCAUUAUUUUCUUGGAAUUGAAGUGUUUCUCACUCAGUCCAAAUACGUACUUGACUUGUUAAAACCAAGUAAUACGGAACAAGCCAAAAGUUGCCCUACACUAGCAAUUAUGUGCCUACAGCUAUUUAGUUCUAGUGGACCUAAGUUGAACAAUGAGAAGUCGUAUCAGAACACUGUAAGGGCAUUACAAUAUCUCACAAAUACUCAAGUAGAAAUAUCUUACAUUGUAAUUAAAUUAAGUUUUUACAUUGUCCCACCGAUAUGUAUCGGAGAGGUUGUAAAUGAGUUUUGACAUACUUACAUGGGAGUAUUGAUCGUGGUCUGCACAAUCAAUCAGCUUCUGGAUUUAGUCUCACUAGCUUCUCAGAUGCUAAUUGGGCCAGUUGUGUCGAUGAACGAAGGUCCACCAAUGGCUUCUAUGUUUUUCUUGGUCCUAACAUUGUCUCAUGGAGUUCACGUAAGAAAAAGGUUGUUGCAAGGUCCAACACUGAGUUGGGAUACAAAGCAUUGGCUCAUGCGGCAAUAGAGCUAGGUGACCUGGCUAAAAGAGCUACCAAUCUAGUGUGAUAAGAUUGGGGUAGCUUGCAUUGCUGCAAACCUAGUUGGACAUGCUCGCACCAAACACAUUGGAGCAGAUGUCCAUUCUGUAUGUGACAAAGUGCUGCAGAAAGAGUGUAUGCACCUACAAAAGAUCAGGUAGCAGGUAUACUAACAAAGCCCUUGUCUGUAUCCCGGUUCAUCGUCCUUAAGGUUGAGUUCAAUGUGAAGGCGUCCCCGUUUCGCUUGAGAUGGCGUUCUGGACAGAAUGCUCCAGAACAAAUUAGUUUCAGAGUUAGUUAAGGCUAGCUUUAAAAAUUUCAUACUUAGUUGAGGUUAGUUUUAGAAUUAGAUGAAAAACAGAAUUAGUUAGGGUCUCCGACCAAUUUGUAAUCUUCUCUAUAUAAAGGAAAAGAGAGAAAGAAGAAACAGAGGUCAGUUGUGUUUCUCUCAUGCUGUGAUUAUAUCUCUAUGUUCUGCUCUGUUUUGCACUCUCAACAUCUUAUCUCCUGUGAUGAACAUCCUAACAGGCCCAGAUUCAAGAGCCAUGUUCAUGCAUGCAUUAUAUAAUAUAUUAAAUUGUAAUUGAAAGCUAAAACAACAUGUUGAAGUUUUAUGUGGAACAGUGCUAAACUUCAGAUAAUAGGUGCUUUUAUAUAAAAGAAACUGUUUUCCUCCUUGAAGUUUUGUGUCAAAUUUACUUUUCUUAUGUAAGGAACGAACAGAUAAGUUCAUACCUAAUUCUGAUGCAGCCAUUCUUAAAUAAAGCUCUUGUCCAAUUUCAGCUAUAUCUAUCAAAUCAAAUCACUAAACCAGGCAAAGCAUCCACUUCCUUGUUUAUAUCUGAAUUUGCAUAAGCAGUAUAAGAGCAGACGCUUGAGCCCCACCCAAUGCCCUUGAGGUGAAUCUCGUACCAGAUUACUUUACAACCUGUCACUCAUCUGAUAAUCUAGUGGAGUGGUCCUUUAAUUCCAUGCGCUCAAAAUUUAGAAGGCCUCAUGAUAACUGAGUUAUUAGAAAGUUCAUAUGUAGACGCAUCUUCUUUUCAUUAAAAACAGAAGCAUAUGCACAAACUGGGUUUGGUGUUAAUUGAGGAAACCCAAUAAAUUGAACAUCAUUCCAAUGUCAGAGCAAAAUGUCAUAGCUGAGCGAUUCCUUAGAAUUAGUUGUGGAAAGCCAUUAGGAUCGAGCCAAUAUAUGAAAUCACCUUUAAUAGGAACCACCGUGCUCUUCCAUGAGGAUAGGAACCAAUCCGGACCUGUCACUGUGUUUCUUCCAAAUUUCAUGCCUUGUAGAAGAGUAUUGCAGGGAUAAUCAAAACUCUGCCAAAGAAGUUCUCUGGAUCACUAUCAUCUCCAAUUUUCAUGACAAGAUUUUCAAAUUCCAAAAGCUCAAUAUGUGGACCUUCUUCAUGAAUGGAUUGCACUUGUGAAUGGAUAGAGUUCCCUGGUCCAUGACCUUUAAAAUUCCCGUUGAAUUAGCUGAUUGGGAACUAUACCACUCUCCAUAGACACUUCCCUGUAUUAAAUCCCUAAAGUCUGAAUUUGUGGAAAUACCUGGGCUGAAAAACCCCAGUUUAAGGCUGCCAACAGCUCCAGUGAUUACCUCACUAUCAAUAAGGAGUUGAUUUACUGUUGACUUACAUAGAACAAGACAAUUUUGGAUGGUUGGGCAUGAUCAAUCAAUCAGUUUUCCUGGAUGUAUAUUCUAGCACUAAGUGGCAUAUAUUCCCUUCAAUUAAAUAACAAAAUCAAUCCCAAUUUACAGCUAGAAUCUAUGUAAAUCUCACAUGUCAGCACCACAGAAUAAUCAGGCACAUUAGUUAUUGCUUUUGGUUUCACUGAUUUCUGUGAACUGUUUAUAUUAAUAACCUCUUGUUCUUGAUGCUGAAAUGUUAGAAGGUCAUAUUUUUCUUUUUUCUUUUUUCUUUUUUUGCAUUACUUGAUUCUCACAUAUUAAAAUAGAAAUCUCAUUAAAUCAUUCAAGAGAGAAACCAAAACCCUUUUUAGAAGAAAUGAAAGAUCAGCAAAAGAUCAAAAACAGAGUCAAGGUUUCCCCUACAAUCUGCAAGUAAUUAGUAUUUUUGAAAAGAAUAGCUUCCAUUAUUUGGUCAACUUCUAUUAUUGAACUUAUAUACUAUGAGUAACUAUCAUUAUCCAUACAAAAAGUAGCAGCAAAGACUAAUCACCUGACAGCAUCUUAUAUGAGUCUUUUGUUGGAAGCUAAGCAGUGUGGUUGAGAAAAGUUGCCUAAAGUAGUUGAAGUCAUAGGUCUAAAGACAACAAAACAUCAACAUGAAGCAUCUUCUAUCAAGCUUCCAACAGUGUGAUGGUGGAUUGAGUACCAGAGGAACAAUUUCCUUCCAUCAUAUUCAUAUCGGUGAAGAAAUAAGGCUCUUUGGGCUGAGGUAGUGCACCCUCACUACCCAACAUCAGAACCACAGAAUGCAUGCUUGGUCGAUCCUCUGGGAAACGUUGCACACAUAAUAGACCCAAAUUGAUUGAGCAUAGCACUUCAGAUAGAUUGCAGGUGUUCCCCAUUGAUGCAUCAAUAAAUUCUGAAGACCUAUCUUCCAUAAAGAAUGUCCAUGCCUAGACAGUUUAAAAGAGGAUCAACACUACUUUUAUAUAUUGAAAUAAGGAAAUAUUACCUAAUACUUACAUGCCCAAGAAGACUAAGGUCAUGAUACGGGUGGUUAAAUCCUUUGUUUCUCUUCCCACUUACAAUCUCUAAAACCAAAACACCAAAGCUAAAAACAUCGGAUUUUGUGGAAUACAAUCCUUCCCUUGCAUACUCUGGAGACAUAUAACCUCUACAGGUAACAAUAAAAGAAGGGGUUAAAUUCACAAGCAAUGGAGAUAAAGACUUUAUACAUAUCACUAAAUAUACUUACAAUGUUCUAGCCACUCUUGUUGUGUUUGUUUCAAUUUCAUUUCCUCCAAAACUUCCUGUUAUUCCGAAGUCUGAAAUUUUGGGUAUCAUUUCAUUAUCUAGUAAAAUGUUUUCUGCUUUGAGAUCUCUAUGGAUUAUCCGAAGUCUGGAAUCCCGGUGAAGAUAAAGAAGGCCUUGAGCAAUCCCAUUGAUAAUGAGGAAGCGCUUAGGCCAAUCUAGCACCCUUCUUCGCAUUUGAUCUGUCCAUUUUUUUUUAUCAUUCAAGUUAACCAAUUCUAUUAAAUGGAUUAUUUGAAUAUAAAUGAAAAAUAUUUCAAGAAACAAAUCAUUUCAAAUUCCAUGAGAGUUGUUUAGAGCAAUGACAUAUGAAAACAAAAGUAACUAUAAUUGAAGCUCAUUCUUAGUGAUUAAAGAACAUUGUCAAGGAGACACAAAUAGAUAGUGGAUCUUAAUGGUAGGGUUCAAAACCCCUAACUUUUUAUAUAAGAGCCAAAAUGUUAGAGAAAAUAGGAGUAAGAAAGAUUUUCUAGAUAAAUGCAUCUAUGCUUUAUCUUGUCCCCAACAAUUUUUCUUUGGGAUUUGUUAAAUCCAAUGUAAAUAAAGAUUUUUCCAAGCAUGCAUAGGAGAGGAAAAAGAAAAGAGAAGUCAAUCGACUAGGCAAACAAACUAUAUAGCGGUUUUAGAGAGUCAAACCAAAAAUAAAAAGGUCCAAGCUUUUGUUAGGCAUGUGUUCAUAGAUCAACAAUCUUUCUCUGCCAUGAAUGCAACAUCCAAGAAGCUUUACAAGAUUUCGGUGUUGAAGUUUUGCAAUGGAUUCAACUUCAUUUUUGAACUCUUUUAAUCCUUGUCUAGAAGUUUUUGACAUCAUCUUCACUGCUAUUUCUUGUCCCUCUUGCAAUAUUCCCUGAAAACAUCACAUUCUUUUUAUUAUGCAAGCUUUGUAGAUUAAAAUAAACUUAUCGAUAUUCAAUACAAGGAGUCCUAAAGAAACUAGAGAUACAAAAAUGUUGGCACAUACACUGGCUUCAAGACUUUAAAGCAUAUAGUGGCCUUGGUACAUGUUGCUUCAUUUAGAUACUAUGAGGAUUGGGACGUCAACUACUUCUCAAGAUGUUUAAUUGUGUAUCUAUAAUGUUUUAUUAACUUGUAACUUGUCUUCUUGCCCAAAGGGCAAAGUAUGACCAUACCUUAUAGACAGGUCCAAAACCACCCUCUCCAAGCUUAUUGUCACUAGAAAAGUUAUUAGUGGCAUUUAAUAAUGUAUCCAAGUCAAAUAAUGGUAACUCUAGAUGCUCUUGGCCUUCAUUGUUUUCACCUCCUUUUGAAUUGUGUUCCAUGUAUGCUGCAAAAUGGAGAAUAGAAUGAAGGAUUAAAGAAUUCACAAAUAUGGAAUUUAGCCUAUUUCCAAGCCUAAAUCAUUUCAUUAUUUCUAAAAUCAAGUCAAGUCAAUUCAUUCCUCUUUUUUUUUUAUUAUUAUUAUUAUUACGUAAUCAGACAAUGUGUAAAAGUACUUUUGACUAAUACAUAUGGUGGUAAAAGCACUAAGAUUUGUUACUUACCUUUUCUCUUUGGUUGUUUCUUCCUUUUCUUGAGCACAUACAAGGUCAGGACUAGACUUAAAAGAACUAUUCCUGUAAUUGAUAUAGAGAUGAUAAUGACCUGUUUUUUCUUCUUCUUGGAGCUGCUAUUUAUGCUUGAAGAAGCUUCUUGACACAAAAGGAAAGAAAUUAAGAAGGAAAGCCAGGAAAUGUAACAGAAAAACCAUAAAUUCCUAUGAGCGGUAACCAUUGAUCCAAAAUAUAUUUCUAGUUUACAACCAUGAAAGCAGGAGUUCAAGGAACUACGAUUGCCAUAGGAUUUGAGGGCAUAAAUCAGUUGGUGUAUUGGUGUGUUAUAGCAUUCUUACUAGAAUUGAAAUCUAAAAGAAAAAUAUUCCCAAGUUUUGAGUAGACCUCUGCUUUACACUCUAGUCUUUAGAUAAUACGUAUACUAUUCCAUGAAAUAAUGUGCAUGGUAGUUGGCCUCAGAUUUUUCACAUCAGCAAUAAUUGAGACAGAGGUAAAGCUGGAAGUCACAAAAUCAAACGAUAAAACUAGAGGCACGUAUGCAAGGUGAACAACUGAUUCAAAACCUUUGAAUAAAUAUACCAUGAAAUUUGUAUCAGAUUUAUGUUUCUCAGGUAAGAAAAAGAAAAGUUCAUACCUAAGUCUGCCGCAGCCAUCCUUACAUAAAACUCUUGCCCAUUUUCAGUGAAGUCUCUGAUGUCAAUCAAGUCACCAAACCAGAGCAAGCAUCCACUUCCUCCUCCUCUGAUAUCUGAAUUUGCAUAAGCAGUGCAAGAGCAGUUGCUCAAGCACAGGGAAGCACAUUCCUUAAGGUUCAUGCUUUCAUUAAACCAGGAGCUCCGUGUGUCUGGCAGUUUCACACCAGAGUACUUUACAAAUCCAUCACCCUUCUGGCAAUCCAGUGGAGUACUUCGAACGCAUCCAUUUGACCAGUCUUCCAUGUCCCAAUUGCUUUGGAAC